This 114-nucleotide small nucleolar RNA is filed under the name Fukomys damarensis (Damara mole-rat). RNAcentral's name for it is "Small nucleolar RNA SNORA25 (ENSFDAG00000003781.1)". Lineage: Eukaryota; Metazoa; Chordata; Mammalia; Rodentia; Bathyergidae. The record is from RNAcentral.
AGGUCAUUUCAAAGGGGGCGAUAAAGCCAGGAUCUCUUAACACUAUGACCUAAGACUGACUUUCUUCAUUGAUGCUAUAGUCACUCAAUAGUGACUAUCUGAGGAGAUACAUCA